Molecule: ribosomal RNA, 2893 nt
Filed under: Escherichia coli
Lineage: Bacteria; Pseudomonadati; Pseudomonadota; Gammaproteobacteria; Enterobacterales; Enterobacteriaceae
Also listed under: 1 other name
Description: bacterial LSU rRNA
Rfam family: Bacterial large subunit ribosomal RNA
Source: RNAcentral
ACUAAGCGUACACGGUGGAUGCCCUGGCAGUCAGAGGCGAUGAAGGACGUGCUAAUCUGCGAUAAGCGUCGGUGAGGUGAUAUGAACCGUUAUAACCGGCGAUUUCCGAAUGGGGAAACCCAGUGUGUUUCGACACACUAUCAUUAACUGAAUCCAUAGGUUAAUGAGGCGAACCGGGGGAACUGAAACAUCUAAGUACCCCGAGGAAAAGAAAUCAACCGAGAUUCCCCCAGUAGCGGCGAGCGAACGGGGAGGAGCCCAGAGCCUGAAUCAGUGUGUGUGUUAGUGGAAGCGUCUGGAAAGGCGCGCGAUACAGGGUGACAGCCCCGUACACAAAAAUGCACAUACUGUGAGCUCGAUGAGUAGGGCGGGACACGUGGUAUCCUGUCUGAAUAUGGGGGGACCAUCCUCCAAGGCUAAAUACUCCUGACUGACCGAUAGUGAACCAGUACCGUGAGGGAAAGGCGAAAAGAACCCCGGCGAGGGGAGUGAAAAAGAACCUGAAACCGUGUACGUACAAGCAGUGGGAGCCUCUUAAUGGGGUGACUGCGUACCUUUUGUAUAAUGGGUCAGCGACUUAUAUUCUGUAGCAAGGUUAACCGAAUAGGGGAGCCGAAGGGAAACCGAGUCUUAACUGGGCGUUAAGUUGCAGGGUAUAGACCCGAAACCCGGUGAUCUAGCCAUGGGCAGGUUGAAGGUUGGGUAACACUAACUGGAGGACCGAACCGACUAAUGUUGAAAAAUUAGCGGAUGACUUGUGGCUGGGGGUGAAAGGCCAAUCAAACCGGGAGAUAGCUGGUUCUCCCCGAAAGCUAUUUAGGUAGCGCCUCGUGAAUUCAUCUCCGGGGGUAGAGCACUGUUUCGGCAAGGGGGUCAUCCCGACUUACCAACCCGAUGCAAACUGCGAAUACCGGAGAAUGUUAUCACGGGAGACACACGGCGGGUGCUAACGUCCGUCGUGAAGAGGGAAACAACCCAGACCGCCAGCUAAGGUCCCAAAGUCAUGGUUAAGUGGGAAACGAUGUGGGAAGGCCCAGACAGCCAGGAUGUUGGCUUAGAAGCAGCCAUCAUUUAAAGAAAGCGUAAUAGCUCACUGGUCGAGUCGGCCUGCGCGGAAGAUGUAACGGGGCUAAACCAUGCACCGAAGCUGCGGCAGCGACACUAUGUGUUGUUGGGUAGGGGAGCGUUCUGUAAGCCUGUGAAGGUGGCCUGUGAGGGUUGCUGGAGGUAUCAGAAGUGCGAAUGCUGACAUAAGUAACGAUAAAGCGGGUGAAAAGCCCGCUCGCCGGAAGACCAAGGGUUCCUGUCCAACGUUAAUCGGGGCAGGGUGAGUCGACCCCUAAGGCGAGGCCGAAAGGCGUAGUCGAUGGGAAACAGGUUAAUAUUCCUGUACUUGGUGUUACUGCGAAGGGGGGACGGAGAAGGCUAUGUUGGCCGGGCGACGGUUGUCCCGGUUUAAGCGUGUAGGCUGGUUUUCCAGGCAAAUCCGGAAAACCAAGGCUGAGGCGUGAUGACGAGGCACUACGGUGCUGAAGCGACAAAUGCCCUGCUUCCAGGAAAAGCCUCUAAGCAUCAGGUAACAUCAAAUCGUACCCCAAACCGACACAGGUGGUCAGGUAGAGAAUACCAAGGCGCUUGAGAGAACUCGGGUGAAGGAACUAGGCAAAAUGGUGCCGUAACUUCGGGAGAAGGCACGCUGAUAUGUAGGUGAAGCGACUUGCUCGUGGAGCUGAAAUCAGUCGAAGAUACCAGCUGGCUGCAACUGUUUAUUAAAAACACAGCACUGUGCAAACACGAAAGUGGACGUAUACGGUGUGACGCCUGCCCGGUGCCGGAAGGUUAAUUGAUGGGGUUAGCGGCAACGCGAAGCUCUUGAUCGAAGCCCCGGUAAACGGCGGCCGUAACUAUAACGGUCCUAAGGUAGCGAAAUUCCUUGUCGGGUAAGUUCCGACCUGCACGAAUGGCGUAAUGAUGGCCAGGCUGUCUCCACCCGAGACUCAGUGAAAUUGAACUCGCUGUGAAGAUGCAGUGUACCCGCGGCAAGACGGAAAGACCCCGUGAACCUUUACUAUAGCUUGACACUGAACAUUGAGCCUUGAUGUGUAGGAUAGGUGGGAGGCUUUGAAGUGUGGACGCCAGUCUGCAUGGAGCCGACCUUGAAAUACCACCCUUUAAUGUUUGAUGUUCUAACGUUGGCCCGUAAUCCGGGUUGCGGACAGUGUCUGGUGGGUAGUUUGACUGGGGCGGUCUCCUCCUAAAGAGUAACGGAGGAGCACGAAGGUUGGCUAAUCCUGGUCGGACAUCAGGAGGUUAGUGCAAUGGCAUAAGCCAGCUUGACUGCGAGCGUGACGGCGCGAGCAGGUGCGAAAGCAGGUCAUAGUGAUCCGGUGGUUCUGAAUGGAAGGGCCAUCGCUCAACGGAUAAAAGGUACUCCGGGGAUAACAGGCUGAUACCGCCCAAGAGUUCAUAUCGACGGCGGUGUUUGGCACCUCGAUGUCGGCUCAUCACAUCCUGGGGCUGAAGUAGGUCCCAAGGGUAUGGCUGUUCGCCAUUUAAAGUGGUACGCGAGCUGGGUUUAGAACGUCGUGAGACAGUUCGGUCCCUAUCUGCCGUGGGCGCUGGAGAACUGAGGGGGGCUGCUCCUAGUACGAGAGGACCGGAGUGGACGCAUCACUGGUGUUCGGGUUGUCAUGCCAAUGGCACUGCCCGGUAGCUAAAUGCGGAAGAGAUAAGUGCUGAAAGCAUCUAAGCACGAAACUUGCCCCGAGAUGAGUUCUCCCUGAGACUUAGAGUCUCCUGAAGGAACGUUGAAGACGACGACGUUGAUAGGCCGGGUGUGUAAGCGCAGCGAUGCGUUGAGCUAACCGGUACUAAUGAACCGUGAGGCUUAACC